Molecule: long non-coding RNA, 525 nt
Filed under: Cicer arietinum (chickpea)
Lineage: Eukaryota; Viridiplantae; Streptophyta; Magnoliopsida; Fabales; Fabaceae
Description: long non-coding RNA (CARI_LNC001477)
Source: RNAcentral
GAGAUAGAAAAGAAAGAGAUUAGAGAAGAAUUACAAGAAGGAUUCACGAGUGAUUCUUGAUAAAACUGCUCAAAUGGUGUUUGAAACAAUCGUCUCUGAGUUUCUCCGUUAAGGCACAAGUUUCCAAACUUCUCAAUAGUAAAAAGGAUCCCUAAAAACUGAGGAAAAACGUGUUUUAUUGUAUUCUAUUGCGUGUCACGUGCCUUGGGCGCACUUCAGGCGCACCUGGACAGUGUUAGUUGUGCAAAAAUGAGCACGAGGCGCAGGUUUUUGCGCUUCUGGCGCAAAACCUCUUAUGUCUGGCGUAUAAUGCAUUUUGAUUUUCUUUUGAGUUCGAAUUUAGCUCCAGUGUCCUCUUAAAAGAUGUAGCUCUGGAUCUUAGCUUUCAUGUUCACUUGUUUUGAAUUUAAUUGGACAUCUACGACUCUAGAUAUGGCUGAAAUACUACACAUAUGUCAUGUUGAUUUCUCUCCAAAAUUCAACACUGCAUUAAAACAAAGAAACAACCCAAAACUAGGAAAAUCU